RNAcentral lists this ribosomal RNA (406 nucleotides) under uncultured bacterium. RNAcentral describes it as "partial 16S ribosomal RNA". It matches the Rfam family "Bacterial small subunit ribosomal RNA", at positions 30 to 526 of the family's 1533-position model. The record is from RNAcentral.
AUUGAACGCUGGCGGCAGGCCUAACACAUGCAAGUCGAGCGAGCGGCGGACGGGUGCGUAAUGUCUGGGAAACUGCCUGAUGGCGGGGGAUAACUACUGGAAACGGUAGAUAAUACCGCAUACACUCAGAUAUGCCCAGAUAGGAGUGGCUAGUAGGUGGGGUAACGGCUCACCUAGGCGUCGAUCCCUAGCUGGUCUGAGCGGAUGACCAGCCACAUGGGAACUGAGACACGGUCCAGACUCCUACGGUAGGCAGCAUUGUGUAAUAUUGCACAAUGGGCGCAAGCCUGCUGCAGCCAUGCCGCGUGUGUGAAGAAGGCCUUCGGGUUGUAAAGCACUUUCAGCGGGGAGGCGUUACCCGCAGAAGAAGCACCGGCUAACUCCGUGCCAGCAGCCGCGGUAAUAC